AGUAUUUUGACUAUACAAAGGUAUUGAAAUAAGACUUUAAUUGAGUGCUAAGAGAAUGGAAUUUCAUAAAAUUUCUUUUUUAAUUUUAAAAAUUGAAAUUAAUUUUAUAUGUGAAGAAACAAUAAUAAAAAUUAAGGACAAGAAGACCCUAAGAAUUUUAAAAAUUUCAAUAAAAUGCUGCAUUUUAUUGAAAUUUUUUAAUUGGGGCGAUUAUUAAAUAUUAAAAACUUUAAUUUUUUAAAAAAGAACCAAUAAUAUUGGUUAUUUGAAAAAAUACUCUAGGGAUAACAGCGUAAUAAUUUUUGAUAGUUCUUAUAGACAAAAUAGUUUGCGACCUCGAUGUUGGAUUAGGAUUCUUUUUUAAUGAAGAAGUUAAAAAAAGAAGUUUGUUCAACUUUUAAAAUCCU
RNAcentral lists this ribosomal RNA (407 nucleotides) under Amblyomma maculatum (Gulf Coast tick). RNAcentral describes it as "partial small subunit ribosomal RNA". The record is from RNAcentral. Lineage: Eukaryota; Metazoa; Arthropoda; Arachnida; Ixodida; Ixodidae.